CCUACGGGAGGCAGCAGUGGGGGAUAUUGCACAAUGGGGGGAACCCUGAUGCAGCGACGCCGCGUGGGUGAAGGAGUGCUUCGGCAUGUAAAGCCCUAUCGGCAGGGAAGAAGCAAGACGGUACCUGACUAAGAAGCCCCGGCUAACUACGUGCCAGCAGCCGCGGUAAUACGUAGGGGGCGAGCGUUAUCCGGAUUCACUGGGUGGAAAGGGAGCGUAGACGGCCAAGCAAGCCAGGGGUGAAAGCCCGGGGCCCAACCCCGGGACUGCCCUUGGAACUACAUGGCUGGAGUGCGGGAGGGGCAGGCGGAAUUCCUGGUGUAGCGGUGAAAUGCGUAGAUAUCAGGAGGAACACCGGCGGCGAAGGCGGCCUGCUGGACCGCGACUGACGUUGAGGCUCGAAAGCGUGGGGAGCGAACAGGAUUAGAUACCCCUGUAGUC
RNAcentral lists this ribosomal RNA (441 nucleotides) under uncultured bacterium. RNAcentral describes it as "partial 16S ribosomal RNA". It matches the Rfam family "Bacterial small subunit ribosomal RNA", at positions 338 to 795 of the family's 1533-position model. The record is from RNAcentral.